UUUGGCCUUAAAGGCCAUCUUUUGAAUCAUUAUAAAUUAAAAUGUAGGUAAAAUAUAACAAUGCCUUGACGUUUUCCAAAUUUUUCGUAUUGUAGUUUUCAUUUUUAGAUAUUCAAAAUGGGGUGUAUAUUCUGUACACUAGGAUCGGCAUUUUCGGUUAUUUUAGAUGCAUUGGAAAGGAUAUCUAUGUGGACAGUAUGUGCGAUAUUAACUUGUUGCUUAGCACUUACUCUUAUAAUUGUAUUAUUGAUUGGAAUUGGUAUCGGCUAUCACUAUUGUUACAUUCAUUAUGUGGGAUCUGGAUCAAAAUGGAAUAAGACGAGCCAAGCACAUUAUUUCUAUCACGCGUUCAAUAAAUUUAUAAGAGAAAAUAUUCAUCGUAUCACGAAACGCGAAUUGAAAGCAAAUGGAAGCGAAAAUAUUGGGUUUGACAACAAAACAUAUUUAUUGAAACGGACUCCUGUGUUUAAUGUUUCAAAAUCUUAUAUUGUAAUGUAAUUUAACAUAAUGUAUAAGGGAAAAUCAUAAACAUAGUUUAUUAGUA
Long non-coding RNA from Papilio xuthus (Asian swallowtail), 544 nucleotides. RefSeq lists it as uncharacterized. The record is from RefSeq and is a predicted model, not a curated record. NCBI's taxonomy places the organism in Eukaryota, Metazoa, Arthropoda, Insecta, Lepidoptera, Papilionidae. The transcript is spliced from 3 exons.